Molecule: ribosomal RNA, 471 nt
Filed under: Nannocoris pricei
Lineage: Eukaryota; Metazoa; Arthropoda; Insecta; Hemiptera; Schizopteridae
Description: partial 28S ribosomal RNA
Source: RNAcentral
AAGGGAGAAGAAAGUUGAAAUGAACUUUGAAGAGAGAGUUAAAAAGUACGUGAAACCGUUUAGGGGUAAACGGAAAAGAACUGAAAAUCCGAAAAGGGAGAUUCACGUCUUCUCGUUUGUUUAUAUAGUUAUUUGUAUGAUAAUUAAUGGCCUGUACAUUUUGUAUAAGUGCUAUUAAUUGCUUACUAGGCUAUAUUAGAAAUGGUGGACCGCACUUCUCUCUUAGUAGGACGUCGCGACCUGCUAUCUUAUAAUUUAAGAAUAAAUCUAUUAAAUGUUUUAUUAUAAUAAAAAUUUAUUUUUUUAUUUAUAAUAAAUUGAUUUAUUUCUAAUUAAAUAGUUAGCAGUAUAAAACGACAGUGUUGAGCCGCUUUUAAAAAAGCGUUUAACAAAUAAUAAUUUUUUUUAUAAUAAUCAAAUAUGGAUUUUAAUCCUUAGAGGUUAUUGGGAAUUUUUAUUAAUUUGUUUAUA